GACGAACGCUGGCGGCGUGCUUAACACAUGCAAGUCGAACGGAGCGCCUAUGACAGAGACUUCGGUCAAUGGAUUAGGUUGCUUAGUGGCGGACUGGUGAGUAACGCGUGAGGAACCUGCCUUUCAGAGGGGGACAACAGUUGGAAACGACUGCUAAUACCGCAUGAUACAUUUGGGCGGCAUCGCUUGGAUGUCAAAGAUUUUAUCGCUGAAAGAUGGCCUCGCGUCUGAUUAGAUAGUUGGCGGGGUAACGGCCCACCAAGUCGACGAUCAGUAGCCGGACUGAGAGGUUGACCGGCCACAUUGGGACUGAGAUACGGCCCAGACUCCUACGGGAGGCAGCAGUGGGGAAUAUUGGGCAAUGGACGCAAGUCUGACCCAGCAACGCCGCGUGAAGGAAGAAGGCUUUCGGGUUGUAAACUUCUUUUAAGUAGGGAACAGAAGAAGAGGGUACCUCUUGAAUAAGCCACGGCUAACUACGUGCCAGCAG
RNAcentral lists this ribosomal RNA (490 nucleotides) under uncultured bacterium. Its description in RNAcentral is "bacterial SSU rRNA". It matches the Rfam family "Bacterial small subunit ribosomal RNA", at positions 28 to 514 of the family's 1533-position model. The record is from RNAcentral.